RNAcentral lists this ribosomal RNA (497 nucleotides) under uncultured bacterium. Its description in RNAcentral is "partial 16S ribosomal RNA". It matches the Rfam family "Bacterial small subunit ribosomal RNA", at positions 28 to 507 of the family's 1533-position model. The record is from RNAcentral.
GAUGAACGCUGGCGGCGUGCCUAAUACAUGCAAGUCGAGCGAACGGACGAGAAGCUUGCUUCUCUGAUGUUAGCGGCGGACGGGUGAGUAACACGUGGAUAACCUACCUAUAAGACUGGGAUAACUUCGGGAAACCGUAGCUAAUACCGGAUAAUAUUUUGAACCGCAUGGUUCAAAAGUGAAAGACGGUCUUGCUGUCACUUAUAGAUGGAUCCGCGCUGCAUUAGCUAGUUGGUAAGGUAACGGCUUACCAAGGCAACGAUGCAUAGCCGACCUGAGAGGGUGAUCGGCCACACUGGAACUGAGACACGGUCCAGACUCCUACGGGAGGCAGCAGUAGGGAAUCUUCCGCAAUGGGCGAAAGCCUGACGGAACAACGCCGCGUGAGUGAUGAAGGUCUUCGGAUCGUAAAACUCUGUUAUUAGGGAAGAACAUAUGUGUAAGUAACUGUGCACAUCUUGACGGUACCUAAUCAGAAAGCCACGGCUAACUACGUG